RNAcentral lists this ribosomal RNA (467 nucleotides) under uncultured bacterium. Its description in RNAcentral is "partial 16S ribosomal RNA". It matches the Rfam family "Bacterial small subunit ribosomal RNA", at positions 28 to 507 of the family's 1533-position model. The record is from RNAcentral.
GACGAACGCUGGCGGCGUGCCUAAUACAUGCAAGUAGAACGCUGAAGGAGGAGCUUGCUCUUCUGGAUGAGUUGCGAACGGGUGAGUAACGCGUAGGUAACCUGCCUGGUAGCGGGGGAUAACUAUUGGAAACGAUAGCUAAUACCGCAUAACAGUAGAUGUUGCAUGACAUUUGCUUAAAAGGUGCAAUUGCACCACUACCAGAUGGACCUGCGUUGUAUUAGCUAGUUGGUGGGGUAACGGCUCACCAAGGCGACGAUACAUAGCCGACCUGAGAGGGUGAUCGGCCACACUGGGACUGACACGGCCCAGACUCCUACGGGAGGCAGCAGUGGGGAAUAUUGGACAAUGGGCGCAAGCCUGAUCCAGCAAUGCCGCGUGAGUGAUGAAGGCCUUAGGGUUGUAAAGCUCUUUUACCCGGGAAGAUAAUGACUGUACCGGGAGAAUAAGCCCCGGCUAACUCCGUG